RNAcentral lists this long non-coding RNA (2684 nucleotides) under Papio anubis (olive baboon). Its description in RNAcentral is "lncRNA (ENSPANG00000041732.1)". The record is from RNAcentral. Lineage: Eukaryota; Metazoa; Chordata; Mammalia; Primates; Cercopithecidae.
AUGGAAGCAAGGCCAGCAACCUGUGACUUCUGGGCUUCUCAGCAUAUGGGACACACGAGACCCUCUGCUCUGGUGGCUAGACUCCCUACUCCUAGCAGCAGACACAGAUCAGCCUCACACACAGGUGUUCCUUUGUUUAACAUGACACAUAUGCCGGAAGAAUGCCAUGUGAAGGCACAGGCAGAGAUCGGGAUGAUGUGUGUACAAGCCAAGGACGCCAAAGAUCUCCAGCAAAGCCCAGGAGUGAGGAGACAGGCCUGGAACAAGUUCUCCCACACAGCCUCAGAAGGAAGCAACCCUAUCAACACCUUGGUCUCGGACUUCCAGUUUGCAGAACUGUGAGACAAUGCGUUCCUGUGGUGGGAACCCGCACUGCACGGUGCUGGGUUGCGGCAACCAUAGGCAACCAAUACACCCCACAAGGAAGCUGAGCUUGACAACUAAGAGGUUGCAGUUUUCCAAGGUGGAGAUGUGUUUGCUCAUGUCUGUCCAUGUUUUUCCUUUUAUGGAACGGAGCCCUUGGUACACGUGGGGCAACUUGCUGAACUUUUGGAAAACUGAUCACACCUUCCCUGCCUUCCAAGAGUUCUCAUUCAUGGGGACAGAAUGUACCUCAUAACUUGGUGUGUCCUUAAGACUGUCUCCGUGUUGAGUGCUGGGUGAUUUUACGAGCAUUUGUAUGUCCGUCUGUGUGUGUGUGUGUGUGUGUGUGUGUGUGUAUGCAUGCAUGCGUGGGUAUACAUGUGUGAAUGUGUGUGUGUACGAGAGUGUUGGGUGUGAAUCUGCGUGUGCGUAUUUGUGUGCAUAUGAGUGUGUGGCUGUGUAGGAGUGUGAGCGUGUGUGAGUGUGACUGAGCUCUCACAGGAAGUCUGUCAGGGGCUUUGGCCCUUCGUCACUCUGGAAGUAGAGGCUGGAGAAAGAGAAACCCGCUGCAGGGUCUCUUGGCUACACAUAGACAGGGUGGGUCUUGCUGUACCUGGGGAAGGUUUGGGUCUGCGAAGGGGCACCUCACCCUCAGGAGGAGCUGAGUGUGUCCUGACCCCCCACAGCCCGAUCCUCAGGGCCGGCUGCUGGGAGGCUUAGCUGGAUGCCCUGCUCACCAGGGAAGCCCCUGGGACUGGAUCCACAGGGCCAACACCGAGGAAGAGGGGAAAGGUGGGUUGAAACAUUGUUGCAAGGAGAAAACACUGCAUAGAACCCUAUUGUUUUAGGGCUGGGGCUAAUUUAACGAGACACUGCAUGUCCACAUAAUAGAAAAUUAUGCAGUCAUCAAAAGUGAAAUUUGACUAAUUUUUAGUGCCUGGGAAGCUGCUUGUGAUGGAUAGAAAAUACCAGAGUUCAAAAUGGCAGCGUUCAAAAUAGAGACAGAGUCAUUAGACUCCAGCGCUGUACAAAAGUCCUGGGUUUGAAUUUGGACUUGCCACUGGCUGGGUGUGAGUCCUAGGGCGUUACCAACCUCCCUACCCUGGUUUCUUCAUCGGUUAAGUGGGAACGACAAGAGUACCAACCCCACAGGCCGAAGGGUGGCAUUUAAGGGGCUCUUGAUGAAAAAACCCUGAUUUGUUGCAUCUGCUGGCUCCCAUGGCAAAUACUCCCAUAAUGGCCAACAUCACACUCCCAGUGACUUAACAACCUAUUCACAGAAUUUCUGAAAACUUAAGUCACCCUCACAAGCCAGCCUGGGCUGACUUCAGCACAGCACAGCUAGGGGCUUUGAGGAUUAAAUAAAUACAUGCUUUGAGCAAUGUAUAACACAAAAGAUGAACAGGAGCUAUCACAUCCGCUGCAUCCUAUUUGGACACACAUUACCAGAAAAAUAAGUAAAAUAAAAAGAGCAAUGUGUGUGCAAACCAUGGUAUGUGGUAGACUGAGGGUGGUGAUUGCAAUUCUGUCCAUCUGAGGUUCAAAGGAUAACUUAAAAUAUGUAUAUGGCUGGUUGGGCGCGGUGGCUCAUGCCUGUAAUCCCAGCACUUUGGGAGGUUGAAGGGGGUGAAUCACCAGAGGUCAGGAGUUUGAGACCAAUCUGGCCAACAUGGUGAAACCUCAUCUCUACUAAAAAUACAAAAAUUAGCUGGAUGUUGCGGCCCACGCCCGUAAUCCCAGCUGCUCAGGAGGUUGAGGCCGGAGAAUCGAUUGAACCUGGGAGGUGGAGGUUGCAGUGAGCUGUGAUCUUGCCACUGCACUCCAGCCUGGGCAGCAGAGUGAGACUCCGUCUCAAAAAAAAAAUAUAUGGCUAAAAAGAGGUUCACAAAAAUGCUGAGAGUGGUGGGAUCAUAGACCAUAUGUGUAAGUUGGCAAUUUGUCCUAGUUUUGCACAAGGAGCACAUGUGAUACAAUCAUUUAAUGUCAUUUAAAGGAGCGAGGAGUUCUGAAGGUGGGCGCUCUAACUCUUGGGGUAGGGCCAAGGGAAUGAAGCCCCCACGGCCUUAGGGAAAGUCGUGGUCGUCACAGAGAGUCAGGGAAGACUGCCUGGGCUGGAGGGAGGCUGCUGAAAGGCCUGUCCCCAUCACCACCCAUUAGGUGGCUCAGCUUUCGUGACACCUUCACUCCUUCCCAUCUAAAGGGGAGGCUUUUUCUUGGCACAACCUGCCUCUUGGAUACAGUGAGAGGGAAUCAGCCAGGUUUUCUGUCUGGGCCUGUGGGUGGUCCUGACACUGGAUUGAAUAAUGUCCUCCCCAAAACUC